RNAcentral lists this unclassified non-coding RNA (333 nucleotides) under soil metagenome. RNAcentral describes it as "partial contains 5.8S ribosomal RNA, internal transcribed spacer 2, and large subunit ribosomal RNA". The stretch from base 1 to 120 matches the Rfam family "5.8S ribosomal RNA", at positions 35 to 154 of the family's 154-position model. The record is from RNAcentral.
GAUGAAGAACGUAGCGAAAUGCGAUAAGUAAUGUGAAUUGCAGAAUUCAGUGAAUCAUCGAAUCUUUGAACGCACAUUGCGCCCGCCAGUAUUCUGGCGGGCAUGCCUGUUCGAGCGUCAUUUCAACCAUCAAGCCCCCGGCUUGUGUUGGGGACCUGCGGCUGCCGCAGGCCCUGAAAAGCAGUGGCGGGCUCGCUGUCACACCGAGCGUAGUAGCAUACAUCUCGCUCUGGGCGUGCUGCGGGUUCCGGCCGUUAAACCACCUUCAUAACCCAAGGUUGACCUCGGAUCAGGUAGGAAGACCCGCUGAACUUAAGCAUAUCAAUAAGAGGA